CCUACGGGCGGCAGCAGUAGGGAAUUUUCGUCAAUGGGCGCAAGCCUGAACGAGCAAUGCCGCGUGAACGAGGAAGGUCUUCGGAUCGUAAAGUUCUGUUGAAGGGGAAAAAGAGCGGAGAGAGGAAAUGGUCUCCGAUUGAUAUUACCCUUCGAGGAAGUCACGGCUAACUACGUGCCAGCAGCCGCGCUAAUACGUAGGUGGCGAGCGUUAUCCGGAAUGAUUGGGCGUAAAGGGUGCGUAGGCGGCCUGCUAAGUGUGGGGUGAAAGGUACCGGCUCAACCGGUACAGGCUCUGGAAACUGGCGGGCUAGAGAGCAGGAGAGGGCGGUGGAACUCCAUGUGUAGCGGUAAAAUGCGUAGAUAUAUGGAAGAACACCAGUGGCGAAGGCGGCCGCCUGGCCUGUUACUGACGCUGAGGCACGAAAGCGUGGGGAGCAAAUAGGAUUAGAUACCCGAGUAGUC
This 464-nucleotide ribosomal RNA is filed under the name uncultured bacterium. Its description in RNAcentral is "partial 16S ribosomal RNA". It matches the Rfam family "Bacterial small subunit ribosomal RNA", at positions 338 to 795 of the family's 1533-position model. The record is from RNAcentral.